UACGUAGGGGGCAAGCGUUGUCCGGAUUUAUUGGGCGUAAAGAGCUCGUAGGUGGUUCGGUAAGUCGGAUGUGAAAUCUCCAGGCUCAACCUGGAGGGGUCAUUCGAUACUGCCGUGACUAGAGGUCGGUAGGGGAGUGUGGAAUUCCUGGUGGAGCGGUGAAAUGCGUAGAUAUCUGCAGGAACACCAAUGGUGAAAACAGACAGCUGGGAGUGUGCUGACGCUGAGACACGAAAGCCAGGGGAGCGAACGGG
This 254-nucleotide ribosomal RNA is filed under the name uncultured bacterium. RNAcentral's name for it is "partial 16S ribosomal RNA". It matches the Rfam family "Bacterial small subunit ribosomal RNA", at positions 524 to 776 of the family's 1533-position model. The record is from RNAcentral.